AGCGAACGCUGGCGGCAGGCCUAACACAUGCAAGUCGAACGAACUCUUCGGAGUUAGUGGCGGACGGGUGAGUAACACGUGGGAACGUGCCUUUAGGUUCGGAAUAACUCAGGGAAACUUGUGCUAAUACCGAAUGUGCCUUUCGGGGGAAAGAUUUAUCGCCUUUAGAGCGGCCCGCGUCUGAUUAGCUAGUUGGUGAGGUAAAGGCUCACCAAGGCGACGAUCAGUAGCUGGUCUGAGAGGAUGAUCAGCCACAUUGGGACUGAGACACGGCCCAAACUCCUACGGGAGGCAGCAGUGGGGAAUCUUGCGCAAUGGGCGAAAGCCUGACGCAGCCAUGCCGCGUGAAUGAUGAAGGUCUUAGGAUUGUAAAAUUCUUUCACCGGGGACGAUAAUGACGGUACCCGGAGAAGAAGCCCCGGCUAACUUCGUG
Molecule: ribosomal RNA, 433 nt
Filed under: uncultured bacterium
Lineage: Bacteria
Description: partial 16S ribosomal RNA
Rfam family: Bacterial small subunit ribosomal RNA
Source: RNAcentral